UACAGAGGUCUCGAGCGUUAGGCGGAAUCAGCUGGGCUUAAAGCGUGUGUAGGCGGAUCGUUAAGUGCCUUGUGAAAUCCCACGGCUCAACCGUGGAACUGCUUGGCAUACUGGCGGUCUUGAGCAACCUAGGGGCGAGCGGAACAAAUGGUGGAGCGGUGAAAAUGCGUAGAUAUCAUUUGGAACGCCAAUGGUGAAAACAGCUCGCUGGGGGUUUGCUGACGCUGAGACACGAAAGCCAGGGGAGCAAACGGG
RNAcentral lists this ribosomal RNA (255 nucleotides) under uncultured bacterium. Its description in RNAcentral is "partial 16S ribosomal RNA". It matches the Rfam family "Bacterial small subunit ribosomal RNA", at positions 524 to 776 of the family's 1533-position model. The record is from RNAcentral.